This 81-nucleotide microRNA precursor is filed under the name Bombyx mori (domestic silkworm). Its description in RNAcentral is "mir-2807 microRNA precursor family". It matches the Rfam family "mir-2807 microRNA precursor family". Lineage: Eukaryota; Metazoa; Arthropoda; Insecta; Lepidoptera; Bombycidae. The record is from Rfam by way of RNAcentral.
UUAACUCAAAUUUGUAUGGAAUGGCAUCGUUUGCCUACGUUUGCUAGGGGCGUUGUUCCAACUGCAUACAAAAUUGGGUUA